This 247-nucleotide ribosomal RNA is filed under the name uncultured archaeon. RNAcentral's name for it is "partial 16S ribosomal RNA". It matches the Rfam family "Archaeal small subunit ribosomal RNA", at positions 691 to 937 of the family's 1478-position model. The record is from RNAcentral.
CCGACGGUGAGGGGCGAAAGCUGGGGGAGCAAACCGGAUUAGAUACCCGGGUAGUCCCAGCUGUAAACGAUGCGCGUUAGGUGUGUCAGUGACCACGUGUCACUGAUGUGCCGAAGGGAAACCGUGAAACGCGCCGCCUGGGGAGUACGGUCGCAAGGCUGAAACUUAAAGGAAUUGGCGGGGGAGCACCACAACGAGUGGAGCCUGCGGUUUAAUCGGACUCAACGCCGGAAAUCUCACCGGAUAA